GGUUCGAUCCUGGCUCAGAUUGAACGCUGGCGGGAUGCUUUACACAUGCAAGUCGAAACGGCAGCACGGACUUCGGUCUGGUGGCGAGUGGCGAAACGGUGAGGUCGUAUCGAAACGUGCCUAGUAGCGGGGGAUAACUACGCGAAAGCGUAGCCAAUACCGCAUAUUGCCCUUCGGGGGAAAGCGGGGGACCUUCGGGCCUCGCACUAUUAGAGCGGCCGAUAUCGGAUUAGCUAGUUGGUGGGUAACGGCUCACCACAGUGACGAUCCGUAGCUGGUUUGAGAGGACGACCAGCCACACUGGACCAGGGAGACACGGCCUGACUCCUACGGGAGGCAGCAGUGGGGAAUUUUGGACACGGGGGGAAACUCCUGAUCCAGCAUCCUGCGAUGAAGGCCUUCGCCGUAAAGCACUUUUGGCAAGGAAAAGAAACGGCACGGGAUAAUACCCCGUGCAACUGACGUACCUGCAGAAUAAGCACUGGCUAAUUCAUGUGCCAGCAGCCGCGGUAAUACGUAGGGUGCAAGCGUUAAUCGGAAUUACUGGGCGUAAGCGUGCGCAGGCGGUUCGGAAAGAAAGAUGAAAUCCCAGAGCUUAACUUUGGAACUGCAUUUUUAACUACCGAGCUAGAGUGUGUCAGAGGGAGGUGGAAUUCGCGUGUAGUAGGAAAUGCGAUAUGCGGAGGAACGAUGGCGAAGGGUAGCCUCCUGGGAUAACACGACUUCGAUGCUCAUGCACGAAAGCGUGGGGAGCAAACAGGAUUAGAUGCCCUGGUAGUCCACGCCCCAAACGAUGUCAACUAGCUGUUGGGGCCUCGGGCCUGGUAGCGCAGCAACGCGGUGAAGUUGACCGCCUGGGGAGUACGGUCGCAAGAUUAAAACCUCAAAGGAAUUGACGGGGAAUCGCACAAGCGGUGGAUGAUGUGGAUUAAUUCGAUGCAACGCGCAAAACCUACCUACCUCUUGACAUGUCUGGAAUCCCGAAGAGAUUUGGGUGCUCAAAGAGAACCGGAACACAGGUGCUGCAUGGCUGUCGUCAGCUCGUGUCGUGAGAUGUUGGGUUAAGUCCCGCGAGCGCAACCUUGUCAUUAGUUGCUACGAAAGGGCACUCUAAUGAGACUGCCGGUGACAAACCGGAGGAAGGUGGGGAUGACGUCGUCCUCAUGGCCCUUAUGGGUAGGGCUUCAUGACGUCAUACAAUGGUCAGGACAGAGGGUCGCCAACCCGCGAGGGGAGCCAAUCCCAGAAACCCGAUCGUAGUCCGGAUCGCAGUCGGCAAUCCCGCUGACCGCGCGAAGUCGGAACUGCCAGUAAUCGCGGAUCAAAGCGUCGCGGUGAAUACGUUCCGGGUCUUGUACACACCGCCCGUCACACCGGCGGGGAGUGGGUUUUACCAGAAGCAAGGCCUAACCGUAAGGAGGGCGAUUACCACGGUAGUGGGAUUCAUAUCGGGGUGAAGUCGUAACAAGGUAG
RNAcentral lists this ribosomal RNA (1473 nucleotides) under uncultured Bordetella sp. RNAcentral's name for it is "partial 16S-23S ribosomal RNA intergenic spacer". It matches the Rfam family "Bacterial small subunit ribosomal RNA". The record is from RNAcentral. Lineage: Bacteria; Pseudomonadati; Pseudomonadota; Betaproteobacteria; Burkholderiales; Alcaligenaceae.